GUGUUUCUGUCCCUAAGUUCAAUGAUACCUCACAACAGACUCUACAUCAUACAGUUCAUUAGCUGUGUAAGGGGACGUGGCCAAAGCAUAGUGGUCGGGGCAAACCUUUACCAAUAAAAAAGGAAGUCUCUGCUGAGUUCAUUGAUACCUCACAUAAGACUCUACCUUAAACGGGUCAACAGUUCU
Long non-coding RNA from Sander lucioperca (pikeperch), 186 nucleotides. RefSeq lists it as uncharacterized. The record is from RefSeq and is a predicted model, not a curated record. NCBI's taxonomy places the organism in Eukaryota, Metazoa, Chordata, Actinopteri, Perciformes, Percidae. The transcript has 3 exons.